GAUCAUGGCUCAGGAUGAACGCUAGCGGCAGGCUUAACACAUGCAAGUCGAGGGGCAGCGGGAUGUAGCAAUACAUUGCCGGCGACCGGCGGAUGGGUGCGUAACGCGUAUGCAACCUACCUUAUACAGGGGAAUAACCUUUCGAAAGGGAGACUAACACCCCAUAGUAUUGAUUUAAGGCAUCUUAGAUUAAUUAAAUAUUUAUAGGUAUAAGAUGGGCAUGCGUAUGAUUAGCUAAUUGGUAAGGUAACGGCUUACCAAGGCGACGAUCAUUAGGGGUUCUGAGAGGAAGGUCCCCCACACUGGUACUGAGACACGGACCAGACUCCUACGGGAGGCAGCAGUGAGGAAUAUUGGUCAAUGGGCGCAAGCCUGAACCAGCCAUGCCGCGUGCAGGAAAGACGGCCUUAUGGGUUGUAAACUGCUUUUACAUAAGACUAACCGUAUAUUUGCGAAUAUACCUGAAUGUAUUAUGAGAAUAAGGAUCGGCUAACUCCGUGCCAGCAGCCGC
RNAcentral lists this ribosomal RNA (511 nucleotides) under uncultured bacterium. Its description in RNAcentral is "bacterial SSU rRNA". It matches the Rfam family "Bacterial small subunit ribosomal RNA", at positions 15 to 518 of the family's 1533-position model. The record is from RNAcentral.